Long non-coding RNA from Peromyscus californicus insignis, 1069 nucleotides. RefSeq lists it as uncharacterized. The record is from RefSeq and is a predicted model, not a curated record. NCBI's taxonomy places the organism in Eukaryota, Metazoa, Chordata, Mammalia, Rodentia, Cricetidae. The transcript is spliced from 2 exons.
ACCAAGGGCCUAAUGACCCAGUGAUAGGCAUCACCUCAGACACCAUCUUUGCACAGUUCCUGGGGGAGUUGGGAGGAGACAAUACAAUCUCUUGGUGAUGGUUAACACAUACAUCUUCCUUUUGGCACAUCCCUUUAGGCAGUUUCAGCGUCGAAAAUGGCCAGAAAUGAAGAGACCUCUUCCAAAUCACUGGGACAGCUUUGGGAAGGCUGGGAAGGUUAAGCGGCCCUAGAGAGGAACCUCCAAAACCAGAGGCCUUGUGUGGCUGCCCAGGCCAUGCAAAACCACAUGAUUCCCAGUGCUGGAACUGGGAGGCCUGACAGGAGGCAGGGCCUGCUCCUGGGACACGAAAUCCUUGAGGACAGCACCCAGACUUCCCCGGGCCCAUUUUUUGCCCUGCUUUGCUUUGGACUGGAACCUCACCAGCUACACAGAACGAAUUCUCAUGCCUGGAGUCUCUGCCAGCCCGCUGAGGUUCAGAAGGACAACAGAACUGAUUUCCAUGGAUUUCUUCCAGGGAUGAAAGUUGCUGGGAUUCUGUUUAAGUCGUAUAGGGAAACAAGCUUUUAACCUUCUUAUUCUUUGGAGAAAGCACGGACAUGGGCAACUCCCGAGUGCUGCCGACAAGGCAGUCCGGCCAUGAGUCAAUAGCACAAAAGUGGCACCAUUCACCUGGCCGGAUGAGCCGCUGCCUCUGAAGCUGCCUUCACUGUACAUAUGUGACCGCUCACGUGUAACCAACACAGGGACUUUUAGGGGAAUCUCACUAAUACAAAAUCCCAUUUUCAAGAGUCGUGGUGUCAAUAAACGCUCUGUGGCCAGUGUCAGCGAAAAUCCCUUGAGCUUGUGGACAUUUCUGUUCCCGUCCAGGAUUCAUUCCUUUGUUAUCCAUCCCAGAACUGAUGUUUUCUAAGGUACUGAACACCCAAGUUCAUGUGUGUCCUGUGUUUAAUGACAUUGUAUUUGUAAAGAAAUUUUGUAGUGUAAGUACAAUCUCACAGUGUUCAUACCCCCAGCCAAUGACUAGCUAUUGGUAUGAAAAAAAAAUCUUUGAAUUUUUGUAAAAGAC